This 69-nucleotide transfer RNA is filed under the name Marmota marmota marmota (Alpine marmot). It matches the Rfam family "tRNA". From Rfam's summary of the family: Transfer RNA (tRNA) molecules are approximately 80 nucleotides in length. Lineage: Eukaryota; Metazoa; Chordata; Mammalia; Rodentia; Sciuridae. RNAcentral also lists the same sequence under 1 other name. The record is from Rfam by way of RNAcentral.
GGGGUUGUAGCUCAGUGGUAGAGCAGUUGCCUAGCAUGUAUGAGGCACUGGGUUUGAUCCCCAGCACCA